UGCCAGCCGCCGCGGUAAGACGUAGGAUGCGAGCGUUGUCUGGGAUUAUUGGGCGUAAAGCGUACGUAGGCGGUCAUCAAGUCUGGGGUUAAAGACCAAGGCUCAACCUUGGGAGUGCCCUGGAUACUGGGUGACUGGAGGACGGCAGAGGAAAGUGGAAUUCCCAGUGUAGCGGUGAAAUGCGUAGAUAUUGGGAGGAACACCAGUGGCGAAAGCGACUUUCUGGGCCGUUCCUGACGCUGAGGUACGAAAGCCAGGGGAGCAAACGGGAUUAGAUA
Molecule: ribosomal RNA, 278 nt
Filed under: uncultured bacterium
Lineage: Bacteria
Description: partial 16S ribosomal RNA
Rfam family: Bacterial small subunit ribosomal RNA
Source: RNAcentral